Molecule: ribosomal RNA, 520 nt
Filed under: uncultured bacterium
Lineage: Bacteria
Description: bacterial SSU rRNA
Rfam family: Archaeal small subunit ribosomal RNA
Source: RNAcentral
AACCUCCGCAAUGUGAGAAAUCGCGACGGGGGGAUCCCAAGUGCCAUUCUUAACGGGAUGGCUUUUCAUUAGUGUAAAGAGCUUUUGGAAUAAGGGCUGGGCAAGACCGGUGCCAGCCGCCGCGGUAACACCGGCAGCUCUAGUGGUAGCAGUUUUUAUUGGGCCUAAAGCGUCCGUAGCCGGUUUAAUAAGUCUCUGGUGAAAUCCUGUAGCUUAACUGUGGGAAUUGCUGGAGAUACUAUUAGACUUGAGACCGGGAGAGGUUAGAGGUACUCCCAGGGUAGAGGUGAAAUUCUGUAAUCCUGGGAGGACCGCCUGUUGCGAAGGCGUCUAACUGGAACGGUUCUGACGGUGAGGGACGAAAGUUAGGGGCGCGAACCGGAUUAGAUACCCGGGUAGUCCUAACUGUAAACGAUGCGGACUUGGUGUUGGGGUGGCUUUGAGCUGCUCCAGUGCCGAAGGGAGCUGUUAAGUCCGCCGCCUGGGAAGUACGGUCGCAAGACUAAAACUUAAAGGAAGU